UCCCAUGUGGUGUAGUGGUCAACAUCAUGGACUUAAACUCCAGUGCCCCGAGUUCAACCCUCGGCAUGGGAU
Molecule: transfer RNA, 72 nt
Filed under: Plectosphaerella cucumerina
Lineage: Eukaryota; Fungi; Ascomycota; Sordariomycetes; Glomerellales; Plectosphaerellaceae
Rfam family: tRNA
About the family: Transfer RNA (tRNA) molecules are approximately 80 nucleotides in length. Their secondary structure includes four short double-helical elements and three loops (D, anti-codon, and T loops). Further hydrogen bonds mediate the characteristic L-shaped molecular structure. tRNAs have two regions of fundamental functional importance: the anti-codon, which is responsible for specific mRNA codon recognition, and the 3' end, to which the tRNAs corresponding amino acid is attached (by aminoacyl-tRNA synthetases). tRNAs cope with the degeneracy of the genetic code in two manners: having more than one tRNA (with a specific anti-codon) for a particular amino acid; and 'wobble' base-pairing, i.e. permitting non-standard base-pairing at the 3rd anti-codon position.
Source: Rfam by way of RNAcentral